Molecule: unclassified non-coding RNA, 202 nt
Filed under: Hevea brasiliensis (rubber tree)
Lineage: Eukaryota; Viridiplantae; Streptophyta; Magnoliopsida; Malpighiales; Euphorbiaceae
Source: RNAcentral
UUUUUUUUUUUUUAAUUUUCUUUUUGGGUUUGGGUUUCAAAGAACGGGAUAUUAUUACACGACCCGCAAAAGAAGGCACGCAGCUCUCUCUCUCUCUCUCUCUCUCCCUGUAAUUGAAUCUUAUCUUAUGCUUAUCUUCCCAUCUCUAAAAUGUUUUUGUCACUGUCUCAGUUCCGAGUACUAGUGUGUGUUUUGCGUCAGC